UGGGUAAUAUUGCACAAUGGGCGCAAGCCUGAUGCAGCCAUGCCGCGUGUGUGAAGAAGGCCUUCGGGUUGUAAAGCACUUUCAGCGGGGAGGAAGGCGGUGAGGUUAAUAACCUCAUCGAUUGACGUUACCCGCAGAAGAAGCACCGGCUAACUCCGUGCCAGCAGCCGCGGUAAUACGGAGGGUGCAAGCGUUAAUCGGAAUUACUGGGCGUAAAGCGCACGCAGGCGGUUUGUUAAGUCAGAUGUGAAAUCCCCGGGCUCAACCUGGGAACUGCAUCUGAUACUGGCAAGCUUGAGUCUCGUAGAGGGGGGUAGAAUUCCAGGUGUAGCGGUGAAGUGCGUAGAGAUCUGGAGGAAGACCGGUGGCGAAGGCGGCCCCCUGGACGAAGACUGACGCUCAGGUGCGAAAGCGUGGGGAGCAAACAGG
This 429-nucleotide ribosomal RNA is filed under the name Chloroflexota bacterium. RNAcentral's name for it is "Chloroflexi bacterium partial 16S ribosomal RNA". It matches the Rfam family "Bacterial small subunit ribosomal RNA", at positions 355 to 776 of the family's 1533-position model. The record is from RNAcentral. Lineage: Bacteria; Bacillati; Chloroflexota.